GCAAAUGAGGCUUACUAGAGGAAGGAAAAUGGCACCAAGAUUGAAGCAGCUGUUGCCAGGGAACAAAUCUGGGCAAUGGAUGUCAGGUGUGCAGGCCUGAGGACAGUUGAGUAUCCAGUGAAGACAUGGUAAACAGGUGGGCAAGCAGGAAGAAGUCUCAGUGCAGGUAAGUCUGUAGACUCAGCAACAAAACAUGCUAUCCUCCCUUCUCGGCAAUAACUUGCCCAGACUGAGAGAUGACAGAAGACCCUAAUAUUAGUCAACUGGCCCCUCAGAAGUCAGAAGUCCGAUCCCAGUAACAACAACAAGAACAACAACAACAACAGUAAUUUUAUUACUUAUACCCCGCCCAUCUGGCUGGGUUUCCCCAGCCACUCUGGGCAGCUUCCAGGAAUAUAUAUAUAUAUAUAUAUAUAUAUAGUCAAGCAUUAAAAACUUCCCAAUACAGGGCUGCCUUCAGAUGACUUCUUAAAUUUAUGUAGUUCUUUAUCUCCUUGACAUCUGAAGGGAGGGCUUUCCAUAGGGAGGGUGCCACUGUUGAGAAGGCCCUCUCCCUAACUCCAAUAAUGAACACUGUCGAAACAGUGAAACGCUGUUGAAAGAGUCUUUGCCCUGCCCCCUGGUAAUUUGCUUGACUGCAAGCAAACUGCUGGCUUCAAGUCAAAUAUCAAAAUUCGAGAAUAUUUGGCAUACCCUGAGUCAAAGCCAUUGUGUUGAACUGUAGCCAUAUUAACAACAACGGAGAGGCAAUGCACAGCUAGACGUGGCUCCCAAGGCCUUCAGCUCUGUUAGCAAGGUACCGUAUUUUUCGCUCUAUAACACGCACCAGACCAUAACACGCACAUAGUUUUUAGAGGAGGAAAACAAGAAAAAAAUAUUCUAAAUGAAAUAGUGGAUAUAUGAUUUUUGUGGUUCAUGCUGUGGCCACAGACAUGUGAUCUGACAGUGAGUUUGGAGUAGCCCAAUGAAAAAAUCCUGAGGAUCCAUGUGGAUCCAUGCUUUGUAACCACGGAGGAGGGAAGGAAGGGGAACCAUGGAUCCUCUGCUCAUGACUGCAGCAGAUCCCCCCUGCCACCCGCAGGCAUUCGCUCCAUAACAUGCACAGACAUUUCCCCUUACUUUCUAGGAGGAAAAAAGUGAGUGUUAUGGUGCAAAAAAUACGGUACUUUUUGCACCAGCUGAACUUGCCGGUUGCUAUAGCUGAACUUCCCCAAUCAAUUACCCAUAGAUUUGCUGUGAGUUUAGGGACGUGUCCACAUUUGAACAUUAUUUGAGCUGUUAAUUCACUCCUCCCCCCGCUUCGAAUUAGACCAGAGUACAGGCACACAGCACCCAUUUACACACGUUCAAUACACCACAGAAACAUCAUAAAAUAAGGUGUAAUGGGUGUUUGCUGGCUUUUUCAAUGGUGUUUCAAAUAGGCGUGAUUUCACUAAGUCACACAGUGCCUUGUACGUAACCCCCUCCUAAAUGUGCACCUGGAGGGGGGUUGCCUAUAGUCCACACCCACAUGUAUUUGAAUUUGUAUAAGAACAAUUUGUCUUUUCUGUUCAUACCAGUGGGCACGUGUUUGUCCCUGCCUUCCAAUUUGAUGAUUCUGUUAUGUCAAUUAAGUACUAACAGAGCAUGCAUGCACAACCAUCAAAGGACCCAGCGUCUCCUGGCUUACUUUCAACAGGCAGGGUGAAUGUGGGACCUCCAGCUCACAAAUGGUCAGCUGAGCUGCGCCUCCAAGCAUAUUCCCCAUACUGGCAUGUGAGACUGAUUGAAAGCGACUCAGAACAAGACUGAGCCUCUGACACCUUCGUUGAGACACUCAAAAACACAGGUGCUUCUCCCAAAAGGCACCUCUCCACCCCCAUUGUUCUGCCCGGAAACUGAGGUCCAGUACCGAGGGCCUUCUGGCGGUUCCCUCACUGUGAGAAGUGAAGUUACAGAGAACCAGGCAGAGGGCCUUCUCGGUAGUGGCGCCCGCCCUGUGGAACACCCUCCCACCAGAUGUCAAGGAAAUAAACAACUAUCUGACUUUUAGAAAAUCUCUGAAGGCAGUCCUGUUUAGGGAAGUUUCUAAUGUUUGAUGUUUUAUUAUGUUUUUUGUGUGUUGGAAGCAGUCCAGAGUGCCUGGCGAAACCCAGCCAGAUGGGUGGGGCAGAAAUAAAUUAUUAUUAUUAUUAUUAUUAUUAUUAUUAGGGAGCAGGGAAGUGGGUGCUUUAUUUGCAAAAUGGGUCACUGCAGAAACAGACCUAACAUUUUUGGAGUUGUGUCAUUCUAGAAGUUCUCUCAUUGCUGAGGUGUGGAGCUUAUUGACUGUUAAACAAAUUGGGUGUGGCCAAAGUCACCAACAACAACUUGGCUAUUUGCUACUGGCAAUGAGCUCCACAUAUAGGUGUAACUGUCAAAGCAUGAGAUUAUAGAAUCCUGCGAGCCAUCAGGCAGAGUCCCUUGCCUGGACUCUGAUGUUGCAUUUUAUUGAAGUGACUGCUAACCUUUGGAUAGGAAAUGGACUCAUUGGUGUGCACCCAUGCACGGAUGGGCUGCAGCUUAUCCCACUGAUCCUGGUCUUGUCAGGACCACGUUGCCAGUGGUACAAUUUUAGUCAGCGCUUACACUCGCCAGUAUUACAGCUCCACCAUCCUUGUGAAACAAACAAACAGGAAUGCAGAGAGAGAGAGAGAGGACUGUGGUAGAUAAAGUGGGGCAAAGUCACAUUGGCUUUGGAAUGAAUGGUCAAAAGAGGAGCAGAGCCCAGAGCUACCAGCAGACAGUCCCAUGUUUCAACCACAAGACCUAUCAACGCAUAAGUGCAAGGCCACAAGCUUGAUCACUGGAGCUAGAGAGCUGAUAGAGAAAAAGAGAAUCCUUUGCCAGCUUUUCAUGUUGGAUCACAUGAGAGCAAAGCAUUCUAGUAGGACAAAGCAGAAGGAGCUGCCCAGAUUAUAGACAAGGAGAGGUAGGACAGAGAUGACCACAGAGAAAAGGCGUUUGCAAAUUCCAGAGGUGCCUCUGCUUCUGCUUGUGGGUGCAGCUGCCCAUGCAACGUAAGUUUUUCAGCUAUGGCUCUACUCUGAGUCAAGCUAAUGUGGUUGACAUUCAUCUCAGGAGUCCCAUAUUGGGUACUGCAAAGGGUCACAGAGUAGGAUAGUGUGAAUGUGCAGCAAUCCACACAGCCCAUGGUCGUUUUAAGUAUGCUUGUGCAGGAGAACUUCCUAAGGAAUUGUGAGGAUGUUUUAAAGCCACCCUGAAUAUUUUCCCUGCUUGCUCCAUCUUGCUGUUCCAGCAGACCCAAUGAUUUUCCAUUCCUCAGGCCAGAAGGCCAAUAGCACAGUGCAGAUCCUGCAAAGAGCAUAUAUUUUAUCAGCUGACACAGGAAACGGUGGAGAAUCAUCUCCCUCCCAUUCCCCUUCCAAACUUCCUGCUUGCUCCACAAAUCAACUUAUGAUAUUCCUCCAGUGAUGGCCAUGAAGAAUUCUCCAGAAGAAGAAGAACACAAGAUAAACGUAAUACUCGUGGUUCUCAACCUCCAAGAAGAAGUAGGUCUGAAGUGUGUGGGAAGAAUGACAUGACCCAUUCUCCCAAUAGCUCUCCUUGUCAGUAAGAAGUCUCUGGCCAUUUCAUUGUCCUUCGAAGGAAUAUGGUCCAACAAUUAGUCCCUAUGGCAUCUUUCUUCAAUCUAGUUCCCUCCAGAUGUUGUGGACUACAACUUCCAUAUCCCCUAACCACUAAACCCUGAAGAUUGACAAUGAUAGCAGCUCACACUAACAAUGAUUUUCCAGGGACAUGGAACUGAAAAUGAGAUGCUCCCUGGUAAAUAGGGACCAUCGGAAUUGUGUAAUAAAUUGGUUCCUUUAUGCUCACUGAUGUUAUGAGCACCAACCAGAAGGCUGUACAACACCCUUCAGCAGAGGAGGUGUCUGCUACCACAACUACAGUGGUACCUCAGGUUAAGUACUUAAUUUGUUCCGGAGGUCCGUUCUUAACGUGAAACUGUUCUUAACCUGAAGCACCACUUUUGUUAAUGGGGCCUCCUGCUGCUGCCGCGCCGCCAGAGCACGAUUUCUGUUCUCAUCCUGAAGCAAAGUUCUUAACCUGAAGCACUAUUUCUGGGUUAGCGGAGUCUGUAACCUGAAGCAUAUGUAACCUGAAGUGUAUGUAACCUGAGGUACCACUGUAUUACUUUUAAAAGGUGAAUUGACUAGAAAGUUGAACCAGUUAUCCAGGUGCCAUGGCCGCAAGAGGAUUUUCAAUAGGUAGACAAGACAGGGGUGGAGCCUGAGAUCAGGAAUUAACAAAGGGCAGGGAAAGCGAAAGAGGGUUCACCUACCUUUAGCCCUAGUCAGAGGGAAGGAAGCUGUACCUAUGUUAGAGUGCAGUGAAUGCAUGGGCCAAUGAGAAGCAGCUGGGCUGUACUUUUUCCUUCCGCCGCAUUUAAUCACUGUCUUCGAAAGUAAUUUGAGAAGUGGCCCCAGAGGCCUGAAAAGUUGGAGACAGAAGCUGGGAACCUGCCGUGCCCUAGGAUGAGCCCCAAGGCCUGCUAACCAGCUGUUUCUCCCCGUCAGAGGGCAUGAUCUCCUUGGCUUUAAUGAGGCUCAUAAAUCCUGCCGGUGUCACAGGCACACGGCUACACCUCACGCAAAGACAAACACAGCCUGCCACCUUUAACCCUGCUCGUGGGAGGAAGAAUUGCUGCCUGUGUAUUUGCACAGAGACACCUAGUUAGUGGGCAACAAGAAGAGUGUGGUGCCACACUCAUGCCACAUUUACCGGAUUUAUUUUGUGUGUGUGUGUGUGUGUGUGUGUGUGUGUGUAUUUAUAUACAUUUAAAAUUUAUGUUUCCACCAUUUUGGCUUACUCAGUGUGGCAUGUGAUAGCAUAAAUCCUGGACUAUGGUCUGCAGGUAGCUGCCCUGAUGAAGCUAAGCAGGUCUGAGUCAAGGCCCAGCACCAACCGCUAUGUAGGGAUGUGCAUAGAUGCUAGAAGAUGAUAUAUUUAUUAGAUAUUGUCCUUCCACCCUCAUGUUUGUGAGUUCAGCCGAGUGCCAUCCCUUUGCAGCUUAAAAGGGAAGUUUAAAAGUAAAGGGACCCCUGACCAUUAGGUCCAGUCGUGGCCGACUCUGGGGUUGCGGCGCUCAUCUCGCUUUAUUGUCCGAGGGAGCCGGCGUACAGCUUCCGGGUCAUGUGGCCAGCAUGACUAAGCUGCUUCUGGCGAACCAGAGCAGCACACAGAAACGCCGUUUACCUUCCCGCCGGAGCGGUACCUAUUUAUCUACUUGCAUUUGACGUGCUUUUGAACUGCUAGGUGGGCAGGAGCUCCCAACUGCUGACCUUCCGAUCAGCAAGCCCUAGGCUCAGUGGUUUAGACCACAGCACCACCCGUGUCCCAAAAGAGAAGCUUAGAUAGGCUAGUUUUAUACCUUUUGGUGUCAGUAAUCCAGGAUACUUUUAAGGCAGACUGGAUUCACCUGGUAUUUCCCCUUUUCUCCUCCCUUAAAGCAACGGUCGCACAAACAGCCUUGUAAAAGUUAAAAAUGACAUCUACUCAUUCAGAAUACUUGUUGAAGAUUAACAGGUACAGCAGCUUUGUUCAGGCAGGCUUAAAAUGGUAAUUCCAUUACAAACACGUGAGCUGUGGCUCAGACUUAGCAUAUGUUCUACAUUGCUGGAAUGGGGUGAAAGAGCAAAGGAAAAGUGCCCAGUCAGGUGAGAAGAUUAUAUAUGGCUAUGCCACCCACCCCCGUCCCCAGUCAGGGAGGAGUGUUUCUCAGAGUUCUCUCUAGCAAACUUGCAGGAAAACUCUUUUGAGCUUCAGCUCCGAUCAUGUGCCUUUCUAGCAAACAUGCAUUGUUGGUUUGUCCACAUUGUAAAUAUCCCACAAGCUGGACAAGUCAGGCAAAAAGUAUUGUAGCACCUUAUAAGACUAAACAGUUUAUGGGAUCAGUUUUUGUGGGCUGGAAUCUACUUCAUCUGAUGCAUGGAAGGUUGUCUCAAUUAUUUUAUUCAGGCCAUACAUUUAGAGCAGCCAGGGAGAAUCCAGGGAGCUGUAGUUUGUUAACGGUGCCGUGAAUUCUAGCUUUGUGAGGCCAGCACCCUUAACAAACCACAUUUCCCAGGAUUCUUUGGGGGAAAGCCAUAACUGCUAAAAUCGUAGAAGAGUGCUUUGAAUUUACAGUGUGCCCAGGAGCAGAGUCUGUGCGGCUCUGUUCUGGUGUUAGGUCCAAGAACACAUGGAAGGAGAGAGGUUGGGCUUCAUGUGCUCCCUCUCCUGACUUUGAGGCUGAAGGGAGAUUCUUUGCACAUCCAGCUAAACAUGCUUGGAAUCCUGCCUGCAACUGGGGAGACUGAUAGUGCAGGGCUGCAGCUUGCACAUAGGACUAUGCACAUUCACUCGAACAGGCAAAGAAUCCCUCUUUAGAACCAUAGCCAUGGUUGGAGCUGACAGUGAUAUAGAAGCAGGGGUAAUGCUUGUGUUCUCGCUUCCCCUCCAUGUUAAUUUAUAAUUUACAGUGGUACCUCGGGUUAAGUACUCAGUGGAUUUGUAACUGGCUGACUGACCGAACCCAAAGGGUGCUCAUCAAUGGUUCCUCUUCAUCCUGGAGAAGAGUGACUAGUGGGGUGCCACAGGGUUCUGUCUUGGGCCCGGUCUUAUUCAACAUCUUUAUCAACGACUUGAAUGAUGGACUCAAGGGCAUCCUGAUCAAAUUUGCAGAUGACACCAAACUGGGAGGGGUGGCUAACACCCCAGAGGACAGGAUCACACUUCAAAACGACCUUGACAGAUUAGAGAACUGGGCCAAAACAAACAAGAUGAAUUUUAACAGGGAAAAAUGUAAAGUAUUGCACUUGGGCAAAAAAAAAUGAGAGGCACAAAUACAAGAUGGGUGACACCUGGCUUGAGAGCAGUACAUGUGAAAAGGAUCUAGGAGUCUUGGUUGACCACAAACUUGACAUGAGCCAACAGUGUGACGCGGCAGCUAAAAAAGCCAAUGCAAUUCUGGGCCUCAUCAAUAGGAGUAUAGCAUCUAGAUCAAGGGAAGUAAUAGUGCCACUGUAUUCUGCUCUGGUCAGACCUCACCUGGAGUACUGUGUCCAGUUCUGGGCACCACAGUUCAAGAAGGACACUGACAAACUGGAACGUGUCCAGAGGAGGGCAACCAAAAUGGUCAAAGGCCUGGAAACGAUGCCUUAUGAGGAACGGCUAAGGGAGCUGGGCAUGUUUAGCCUGGAGAAGAGGAGGUUAAGGGGUGAUAUGAUAGCCACGUUCAAAUAUAUAAAAGGAUGUCACAUAGAGGAGGGAGAAAGGUUGUUUUCUGCUGCUCCAGAGAAGCGGACACGGAGCAAUGGAUCCAAACUACAAGAAAGAAGAUUCCACCUAAACAUUAGGAAGAACUUCCUGACAGUAAGAACUGUUCGACAGUGGAAUUUGCUGCCAAGGAGUGUGGUGGAGUCUCCUUCUUUGGAGGUCUUUAAGCAGAGGCUUGACAACCAUAUGUCAGGAGUGCUCUGAUGGUGUUUCCUGCUUGGCAGGGUGUUGGACUCGAUGGCCCUUGUGGUCUCUUCCAACUCUACGAUUCUAUGAUUCUAUUCUAUGAUUCUAUUCUAAGUACCUAAUUUGUUCUGGAGGUCUAUUCUUAACCUGAAACCGUUCUUAAUCUGAAGCACCACUUUAGCUAAUGGGGCCUCCUGCUGCUGCCGCACUGCCGGAGCACGAUUUCUGUUAUCAUCCUGAAGCAAAGUUCUUAACCCGAGGUACUAUUUCUGGGUUAGCGGAGUCUGUGACCUGAAGCGUAUGUAACCUGAAGCGUAUGUAACCCGAGGUACCACUGUACUUAGAAAAACAAAAGCAGCUCCACAUUAGAAAGAAAUAGCAUUGUUUACAGUGUAUUCUUCUUUUCCAGUAACCAGCAGUUAACUCAAGAAUGGAGAACUCACAGGCCUGGGGACCAAAUGCAGCCCCCUGAGACCAUCCUCAGGCCACACACCAUCACCAGCCUUACUCUGCGUCCUCCUUGAAUGUUUUUGCCUAACUGGACUGUGUCCUUGAAUUCUGACAAUGCUUCUUGUAUGCCUGGAUGGGGGAUCAAGACAGCUGUUUGAAUGUGCGAUGAAGCUCUCCAUCCUACCAUACAAAGGUAAGAAUCACCUUUAUUACUCUGUCCAGUCCUGCCUCUGGCUCCACUGGCAUUUGGCCCUCAGGCUGAAAAAAUUCUCCUACCCCCUAAGUGAACUAGCACACCAGUCUGAAAAUUUUUUUAGUCGUGUCCGACUCUUCGUGUCCCCAUGGACCAGAGCACACCAGGCACUUCUGUCUUCCACUGCCUCCCGCAGUUUGGUCAAACUCAUGUUAGUAGAUUCGAGAACACUGUCCAACCAUCUCAUCCUCCGUCGUCCCCUUCUCCUUGUGCCCUCCAUCUUUCCCAACAUCAGGGUCCUUUCCAGGGAGUCUUCUCUUCUCGUGAGGUGGCCAAAGUAUUGGAGCCUCAGCUUCAGGAUCUGUCCUUCCAGUGAGCACUCAAGGCUGAUUUCCUUAAGAAUGGAUACGUUUGAUCUUCUUGCAGUCCAUGGGACUCUCAAGAGUCUCCUCCAGCACCAUAGUUCAAAAGCAUCAAUUCUUCGACAAUCAGCCUUCUUUAUGGUCCAGCUUUCACUUCCAUAAGCCAGAACAGCAAGAGGGAUUGCUGCGCAGUGAAAGCAGCAAUCCCUCUUGCUGUUCUUGUUUCUGGGAUAGCUGCGCAGCCUGCAUUUGCUCCAUAAGACGCACACACAUUUCCCCUUUCUUUUUAGGAGGGGAAAACUGAGUCUUAUAGAGCAAAAAAUACGGUAAUAGAAGUGGAGGGGCUGUCGAUCUUGAGGGUAUGUGGCAGGCAAGGUGCUGCUGGUAUUCUGUCUCACCUUCACAUUGUAACUGUGAGACCACGUCUAGUGACAUUUGCAACACUUUCCAAAGGGGUUUGCCUCUUGUGUAACUGCUCCCGUCAACUUCUUUAUCUCUCUAGAUUUGCAGCUAGAUCUCCCAUCUCCUCCUCCUUUGCCCUUCUGAAGCCUGAUAUGUGCGUAAGUGUGGGUUUGAAUGUGUGUUGCAUGAUUCUGCAAUAUCUACUCACUGUUAUACUUUGAGGAACCUUCCUAGCUGUUUCCCUUUCUGGGCAAGUCUAGUAGGAACUACUCUCAGAGCAACACCCUCCACCCACCCCUGCAAAUAACAGAGUAUUUUGAAAUCGGGGAGAAAAUACUAUGCCCUUCCCCUGGCGUGACCUUUCAUUCCAGCAUCUGUACCAACGAUGGCC
Non-coding RNA from Podarcis lilfordi (Lilford's wall lizard), 9280 nucleotides. NCBI's taxonomy places the organism in Eukaryota, Metazoa, Chordata, Lepidosauria, Squamata, Lacertidae. The record is from the annotation of a GenBank genome assembly.